GGUUCUCCCGCCGGAGGCGACCGCUACUGGAGUCCGAUUAAGCCAUGCGAGUCGAGAGUCUUCAAGGACUCGGCGUACCGCUCAGUAACACGUGGGUAACCUGCCCUAUGCUGGGGAAUAACCUCGGGAAACUGAGAAUAAUGCCCCAUAGUUCACUACGCCUGGAACGGUGAGUGGAUGAAAGCUCCGGCGGCAUAGGAUGGGCCUGCGGCGUAUCAGGUCGUAGGGGGUGUAACGUACCCUCUAGCCAUCGACGCGUACGGGUGUUGGGAGACAUAGCCCGGAGAUGGAUUCUGAGACACGAAUCCAGACCCUACGGGGUGCAGCAGGCGCGAAAACUUGGCAAUGCGAGAAAUCGUGACCAGGGAACUCCAAGUGGCUGGGGUAAGACCCAGUCUUUUCUUGACUCUUCAAAGGUCUUGGAAUAAGAGGUGGGUAAGGACGGUGCCAGCCGCCGCGGUAAUACCGGCGCCUCAAGUGGUAGUCGAUUUUAUUGGGCCUAAAACGUCCGUAGCCUGUUUGGUACAUUCGUGGGUAAAUCAACCAGCUCAACUGGUUGAAUUCUGCGAGCACGGCCAGACUUGGGACCGGGAGAGGUGUGGGGUACGCUCAGGGUAGGGGUAAAAUCCUGUCAUCCUGAGCGGACCACCUGUUGCGAAGGCGCCACACUAGAACGGAUCCGACGGUCAGGGACGAAGCCUAGGGGCACGAACCGGAUUAGAUACCCGGGUAGUCCUAGGUGUAAACGCUGUGGACUUGGUGUUGGGGAUUCUCCGAGGAUUCUCAGUGCCGAAGCGAAAGUGAUAAGUCCACUGCCUGGGGAGUACG
Molecule: ribosomal RNA, 828 nt
Filed under: uncultured Candidatus Poseidoniales archaeon
Lineage: Archaea; Methanobacteriati; Thermoplasmatota; Candidatus Poseidoniia; Candidatus Poseidoniales
Description: SSU rRNA
Rfam family: Archaeal small subunit ribosomal RNA
Source: RNAcentral